RNAcentral lists this ribosomal RNA (467 nucleotides) under uncultured Anaerolineaceae bacterium. Its description in RNAcentral is "bacterial SSU rRNA". It matches the Rfam family "Bacterial small subunit ribosomal RNA", at positions 901 to 1382 of the family's 1533-position model. The record is from RNAcentral. Lineage: Bacteria; Bacillati; Chloroflexota; Anaerolineae; Anaerolineales; Anaerolineaceae.
UUAAAGGAAUUGACGGGACCCGCACAAGCAGCGGAGCGUGUGGUUUAAUUCGUUGCUACACGAAGAACCUUACCUGGGUUUUGACAUAUAGGUUGUAGGGAACUGAAAAGGGACCGACCCUUCGGGGAGCCUAUACAGGUGUUGCAUGGCUGUCGUCAGCUCGUGUCGUGAGAUGUUCGGUUAAGUCCGCUAACGAGCGCAACCCUCGUCGUAUGUUAUAUGUGUCAUACGAGACUGCCGGUAAAAGCCGGAGGAAGGUGAGGAUGAUGUCAAGUCAGCAUGACCUUUAUAUCCAGGGCUACACACACGCUACAAUGGUCUGUACAAUGGGUAGCCAAGCCGCGAGGCGGAGCCAAUCCUGAAAGCAGGCCUCAGUUCAGAUUGCAGUCUGCAACUCGACUGCAUGAAGCCGGAGUUGCUAGUAACCGCAGGUCAGCAAUACUGCGGUGAAUACGUUCCCGGGUCUU